GUCUCGUUGGUGACCAGCGGAGGGAUCAUUAC
Molecule: ribosomal RNA, 32 nt
Filed under: Ilyonectria destructans
Lineage: Eukaryota; Fungi; Ascomycota; Sordariomycetes; Hypocreales; Nectriaceae
Description: partial 18S ribosomal RNA
Source: RNAcentral